The sequence is a ribosomal RNA, 555 nucleotides long. It matches the Rfam family "Bacterial large subunit ribosomal RNA", at positions 1796 to 2622 of the family's 2925-position model.
UCGCCUGUUUAUCAAAAACAUGGUUUCUUGAGAAUUUUUAAGAGAUCUAACCUGCCCACUGAUUAUUAUUGAAGGGCCGCGGUAUUUUGACUGUGCAAAGGUAGCAUAAUCAUUAGUCUUUUAAUUGAAGGCUUGUAUGAAUGGUUGAAUGAGGUGAAUACUGUUUUACAAUUAUUUUAUUGAAUUUAGAUUUUAAGUAAAAAAACUUAAAUAUUAUUAAGGGACGAGAAGACCCUAUAGAGUUUAAUAAGUGUAAUAAUUAAUUAAGUUUUGAGAAAAUUUUUAAUUAUUAUGAAAUUUAUUUAAUUGGGGUGAUUUAAAGAUAAGUAUAACUCUUUAUAAGUAUUAAUAUUUUAAUUAAUUUUUUGAUCCAUAAAUAAUGAUUAAAAGAUUUAAUUACCUUAGGGAUAACAGCAUAAUUUCUUUUAAGAGUUCAUAUCGAAAAAGAUGUUUAUGACCUCGAUGUUGGAUUAAGAUAAGAUUUGGGUGUAGAUGUUCAUAAUCUAGGUCUGUUCGACCUUUAAAAUCUUACAUGAUCUGAGUUCAAACCGGAGA